This 269-nucleotide ribosomal RNA is filed under the name uncultured Streptococcus sp. Its description in RNAcentral is "partial 16S ribosomal RNA". It matches the Rfam family "Bacterial small subunit ribosomal RNA", at positions 1114 to 1380 of the family's 1533-position model. The record is from RNAcentral. Lineage: Bacteria; Bacillati; Bacillota; Bacilli; Lactobacillales; Streptococcaceae.
UUUGCCAUCAUUCAGUUGGGCACUCUAGCGAGACUGCCGGUAAUAAACCGGAGGAAGGUGGGGGAUGACGUCAAAUCAUCAUGCCCUUAUGACCUGGGCUACACACGUGCUACAAUGGUUGGUACAACGAGUUGCGAGUCGGUGACGGCGAGCUAAUCUCUUAAAGCCAAUCUCAGUUCGGAUUGUAGGCUGCAACUCGCCUACAUGAAGUCGGAAUCGCUAGUAAUCGCGGAUCAGCACGCCGCGGUGAAUACGUUCCCGGGGCCCUU